AACGUUGCUUCGGCGGGAACAGACGGCCCCGUAAAACGGGCCGCCCCCGCCAGAGGACCCCUAACUCUGUUUCUAUAAUGUUUCUUCUGAGUAAAACAAGCAAAUAAAUUAAAACUUUCAACAACGGAUCUCUUGGCUCUGGCAUCGAUGAAGAACGCAGCGAAAUGCGAUAAGUAAUGUGAAUUGCAGAAUUCAGUGAAUCAUCGAAUCUUUGAACGCACAUUGCGCCCGCCAGUAUUCUGGCGGGCAUGCCUGUUCGAGCGUCAUUACAACCCUCAGGCCCCCGGGCCUGGCGUUGGGGAUCGGCGGAGCCCCCCGUGGGCACACGCCGUCCCCCAAAUACAGUGGCGGUCCCGCCGCAGCUUCCAUCGCGUAGUAGCUAACACCUCGCGACUGGAGAGCGGCGCGGCCACGCCGUAAAACACCCCAACUCUUCUGAAGUUGACCUCGAAUCAGGUAGGAAUACCCGCUGAACUUAAGCAUAUCAAUAGGCCAGAGAAAA
RNAcentral lists this ribosomal RNA (502 nucleotides) under fungal sp. AQG18. RNAcentral's name for it is "eukaryotic LSU rRNA". The stretch from base 113 to 266 matches the Rfam family "5.8S ribosomal RNA". Lineage: Eukaryota; Fungi. The record is from RNAcentral.